GGCAAGGAUAGGCCGGGGCGCCAGGCGUGCCCUGUUACCCGCAAUCGUCUUGGCGGGGGCUAAAGCAAUUUUAGCGGCGGAUUUUUUUGGAAUCCUGUCUCGCGUUUCGAACAGAGACGUCUUGCCCUGUCAGGUCUUUAUUGCGCUGAAUCUGGUGAGGCCUUGAUCGGAGCAGCCAUAAGGCGUGAUUUAGGCGCUUUCAGGAUCACAGGACCGAGGUAGAUUCGUGCAGGCAGUUCUGAAGGAGUUCGUCCAUAGAAUUGCGUUCCUUGCC
RNAcentral lists this signal recognition particle RNA (274 nucleotides) under archaeon. RNAcentral's name for it is "signal recognition particle sRNA". It matches the Rfam family "Archaeal signal recognition particle RNA". The record is from RNAcentral. RNAcentral also lists the same sequence under 1 other name.